GACGUAGGGCGCGAGCGUUGUCCGGAUUUAUUGGGCGUAAAGAGCUCGUAGGCGGCUUGUCGCGUCGUCCGUGAAAACCUGCAGCUCAACUGCAGGCUUGCGGUCGAUACUGGCAAGCUAGAGUCCCGGAGAGGAUGGUGGAACUCUCGGUGUAGAGGUGAAAUUCGUAGAUAUCGAGAAGAACACCGGUGGCGAAGGCGGCCAUCUGGACGGUGACUGACGCUGAGACGCGAAAGCGUGGGGAGCAAACAGG
Molecule: ribosomal RNA, 253 nt
Filed under: uncultured bacterium
Lineage: Bacteria
Description: partial 16S ribosomal RNA
Rfam family: Bacterial small subunit ribosomal RNA
Source: RNAcentral